GACCAGGAAGUGCGAACUCAGAC
RNAcentral lists this non-coding RNA (23 nucleotides) under Cricetulus griseus (Chinese hamster). The record is from RNAcentral. Lineage: Eukaryota; Metazoa; Chordata; Mammalia; Rodentia; Cricetidae.